UUUCUUUCCAUUUUCCACAUAAUUUUUGCAAACUUCUUCCUCUGCCUGGUCUGACAUCUCCUCUUUUUACUUUUCUAUUACACUGACCGUCAAUGCUUCCUUUCUUUCUGAUCUCUUAGACCAUCUUCCCUUCAUAGCUUAGAUUUGCCUCAUGAUUAUGUUGAAUACAAUUUCUUUCAGAGUACAAUAAAUCACAUUAUCCAAACUAUCCAUCCUUUCACAACUGUGCCUUGGCUUUGUGGUCCAGACAAAGAACAUUCAUGUGCUUGAAAUUACUGAACUGCAGCACUUGCCAGCACUAAACUAGAGGCCUGUAAGGAAUGGGUGGCUGUAUUUCAGAGCUGGAGCCAGUACAGCUGCUUUCUGCUUUUCAGAAGUGCAUGAAUUGUGGCUUAGCUUUUGGAGUUCAGACACAGGUAAGAAAAAGUAUUCCAUUAACACCCUUCACACUUUAAAGUGUAAAUGAAGAAGAGUUAAACAUUCUCUGAAGAUACAGUCCAAAAAUACUCCAAGGGAAGAGAAAGCCAACUGAUUGAACUGACCAAGAAAUGCAUCAG
This 557-nucleotide long non-coding RNA is filed under the name Parus major (Great Tit). RNAcentral describes it as "lncRNA (ENSPMJG00000000498.1)". Lineage: Eukaryota; Metazoa; Chordata; Aves; Passeriformes; Paridae. The record is from RNAcentral.